RNA transcript from Entelurus aequoreus (snake pipefish), 6183 nucleotides. It is a transcript of the gene named CUGBP Elav-like family member 2, with no coding region annotated. Lineage: Eukaryota; Metazoa; Chordata; Actinopteri; Syngnathiformes; Syngnathidae. The record is from RefSeq and is a predicted model, not a curated record. The transcript is spliced from 14 exons.
CUGCUUGCAGCCGAAACCGUCCGCUCAUUCCGUGCACUGUACAUAUAUAAGGAGCACGGAGCCCGGGACUCUCUCCUCACAUGCAUUUGGAAGUAAAAGACGCCCCUCCGCGCACCUGUUCUCGCUCGUCCGUCGGAGCUCCUUCCUCUUCCUCCAUGCGAGUGUGUGCGGACGUGCACUUCCUCUCCUCGCUCGAUUAGACGCGGCGUGCUGGUUUUUUCCCCCCCUUUUUUUUUUUUUCUCUUUUUUUUUUUAAAAAACAAGAGUAUGACUUCGUCUUACAACCUGGAUUUCAUGCCCCUGACCGAGAGUCGGCUAAUGGCGUCAAGCGACACAAUCAACGGCAGCAAGAUGAAUGGGUCUUUGGAAAACUUGGAUCAGCCAGACCCAGACUCCAUCAAGAUGUUUGUGGGUCAGAUCCCUCGCUCCUGGUCAGAAACAGAACUCAAAGAGCUUUUUGAACCUUUUGGAGCUGUGCACCAGAUCAACAUCCUCCGCGAUCGCACCCAGAACCCCCCUCAGAGCAAAGGAUGCUGUUUUGUAACUUUUUAUACAAGAAAAGCUGCCCUGGAUGCCCAGAAUGCCCUACACAACAUAAAGACCUUAAGUGGGAUGCAUCAUCCUAUCCAGAUGAAACCCGCUGACAGUGAGAAAACAAGUGCGGUAGAAGACAGAAAACUCUUCAUCGGGAUGGUUUCAAAGAAAUACGGCGAGAACGAGGUCAGGAUGAUGUUCUCGUCUUUCGGGCAGAUCGAGGAGUGCCGAAUCCUGCGGGGACCGGACGGUCAAAGCAGAGGCUGUGCGUUUGUCACAUUUGCUACCAGGUCAAUGGCACAGAAUGCAAUCAAAACCAUGCAUCACUCUCAGACUAUGGAGGGCUGCUCCUCACCUCUGGUGGCGAAGUUUGCUGACACGCAGCGGGACAAGGAGCAACGCCGCCUGCAGCAGCAACUUGUGCAGCAGAUCCAGCAGCUCAACAGCGCCUCCACCUGGGGCAACCUUGCUGGCUUGGGCACCCUCACGCCUCAGUACCUAGCUCUGCUGCAGCAGGCCGCCUCGACAAGCAACCAGAGCACUUUCAAUAGUAUGCAGAGGCUAGGAGGGGUGAAUCAGCUUCAGCUUCAGAACCUGGCCACAUUGGCCGCUGCGGCCGCCGCAGCCCAGAAUACUGGCAGCCCGACCUCUGCCAGCGGGUUGACAGCCAGCAGCAGCGCCCUGGGAGCUUUGGCCUGUCAAGCCGGUUCGACAGCAGGCUCCAGCGCCGGUGCCAUGAACACGCUGGCAUCUCUGGGCACUCUGCAGGGUCUCACCGGGGCCUCUGUCGGCCUCAACAGCCUUAACGCUCUCACCAGCGGCGUCGGUGGAAUGGGGGCCAUGAACGGAGGCCUGGGCGCCUCGAUGGCUAACGGCUCAGCAGCCAGUUCCAUGGACGCGCUGACCCAGGCCUACUCAGGGAUGCAGCAGUACACGGCCUCGGCCCUGCCCUCCCUCUAUGGACAGUCACUUCUGCAGCAGAGCAUCGCUGGAAGCCAGAAGGAAGUGGGGCCAGAGGGUGCCAACCUUUUCAUCUACCACCUGCCGCAGGAGUUUGGGGACCAGGACCUUCUGCAGAUGUUCAUGCCCUUUGGGAACGUGGUGUCUGCCAAAGUGUUCAUCGACAAACAGACCAAUCUGAGCAAGUGCUUUGGGUUCGUCAGCUACGACAAUCCCGUGUCUGCGCAGGCUGCCAUCCAGGCCAUGAACGGCUUCCAGAUCGGAAUGAAGCGGCUGAAGGUUCAGCUGAAGCGUUCCAAGAACGACAGCAAGCCCUACUGAUCCGAGUCCCGAUCCCCUUCCCCCCUACCCCUCCUUCCCACUUCCUCCCCAGCUCUAAUGCUAGCAAUGCUAGGAACAAAUCUCCAUGCCUGUUUGCUCAUCAUUAGCCUAGCAUGUCUUCAUGGUGUUGACAGCCAAGCCACACUCUCCUGGCCUCAUCAUCACCACCAUUGUGUCUGUGAUGUCUCUCUAAGCUCCCCCCCCCCAACCCCCACCCCCCCAAAAAAACCACUUUUGACCAAUACCUGGCCACCCACUGAUCUUUGACCUUAGCUCAACCUGGCAAUUUUUUUUUUCCUGCAUGCGUGUUCAUUGUUUUUUGUCGAAAUGUGACAGUUGGGAGAGAGGUCAAGCGGAUUUAAUGUGAAAACGUACCUACGUUCAACUUUUGUUUUAAAAAAAAAAAAAAAAAACGAGAAAAAAAAAAACAACCUGUGGGAUUUCUUAUUUUAAACGUGGUUUGCUUUUUGAAUUUGAUGCUUUUGUUUUCUCUUUUAAGUUACCUCUCUCAGUAUGGCUGACUUGAAAUACAGGGAUUGGCACACGGCUGUGCUCUUUGGUGCCAUUAGCAAUAUGUUUGGUGGCUUCAAAACGCUUCAAAACCACUUUUGCAACACUUUACAAAGUCCUUCUCGGCGCUCUUGAACGAGCUCUUUUUUUUUGUGGCGGGAAAAUGUUUCAUUAAGGCUAUUUAAACCUAGUUUUUCAUUUACUCUUCAGUGUAUUUUUUUUUUUAAACUACCAAUGGCACAACAAUAGGUACAUUUGCUCAGUUUAGAGAAAUGACUACCUACACGAGUCAAACUUUUUUAGAACUGAUUCACAAAUAGACAAUCUGUGGUUUAAAUGCACACUUAGAUUACCUAUAUUUUAUACCAUUGAAUCUAUAGAGGUCUAACUAACAGAACCCAGGCAAAAAAAAAAAACGUUGGGUUUCUUUUUGUAGAUUUAUGUUGUAAUGUCAUCUGUGUCGCGUAGUCAAGGGGCGGGGGGGCGGUAGUAGUACCGUACUCUUCAGUAUAUUGCAUUUUUAGAGGACUAAAAAAAAAGUCAUUUCUACUAAAUUAAAACCACACUUGAAGUUUCAAAAAAUCUACACGAAUUAUAAAAUUUCAAAAGAAUGGUACUUUUUUUUUUUAGUUUCUUUUAAAUUCACUGUUUGAAUGCCUGGUGUUAUUUACAAUGUUUAUCACGCCAGACAAUGUCUUUUGUUUCUUUUUAUUCUCAAAAGUGCCCAUGUGUCAAUUUUUUUUUUUUUUUGAGGGGCGGGGGGAGUUGUUCAAAACGUCUUUUCUGACAUGUCACUUUUCUUUACACACUUUCUGUGGGAGCCCCUGAAGAAGAGAUCACUUUUUUUUUGUUGGGUUUUCUAACCGGCGACUCGAUCCCUCACGGCGGUGUUGGUUUACAAGUACAUUCCACUUUUUUCAGCAGCACAAAAGUUUACACUUGCAAAAAAAAAAAAAAAAAGGGGUGAAUUUUCUAUUUUUUUGUUUUUUUUUUAGUUUGAGACGCCCUGUGACAAAAUCAAACCACCCUCCUGAAAAGAUUGACUGCGCUCAGGGUUUUUUUUGUCCUUUUUUGUGUGUGUGGGGGAAAACAAAUGUACAGCUUUCACUUUUGUUUUAUUGUAUCAUCUUGUCUGCGAAGGUCCCCAAGAGCAGGGGUGUCCAAACUAAAUAUUGUCCCUCUGCAUCUUGUAAAAACAAAGAUAUUCGGUAUAUUUACUCUAUACUCGUUUUGUUUUGUCAACACAAAGUUGAGAUGUUUUCCUGCCAUAGGCUGACAUCUUCAAUGUACACUUUUUCUACAUACAGGCCCUCGGUUGGAAAAGGUUGGAUGCUCCUGCCCCUAAAAUGAAAAUGAACAAAAAUGCCAACACAUUUAGGGAGGAAAAGUGCACUAAUAUUGUUGUAAAAGAGCGUCGAGCACAUUUGUGGGUAGUGUGUAUGUGUGUUCAAAAUAUCCCCCAAUUUUUAUUUUUUUUAAUGGGCAUGUGCUUUUUACGGUGUUUUUUCUAUCUAAAUGCAAUACAGUAAUAAUAAUGAAAGUGCCAUAUACACGUCUAGAAAACUGCCUACACAUCCUUAUUAGGCCUUGGUUAGAUUGCUGCACCUCGCCUUUUGUGUCACCUGCUUUACACUUCGCCCCCCUCUGCUGUGUUACUGCGUAUUGCGACCUUAAAACUAUAUAUAUAUAUGUGUAUAUAUAUAUAUAUAUAUAUAUGUAUGUAUGUAUGUAUAUGUGUAUACGUAUACGCGUGUGUAUACGCGUGUAUGUGUAUACGUAUAUGCCUGUAUGCAUGUGUAUAUAACACAUAUAUGCGUAUGCGUGUAUGUGUUUACGUGUAUGCGUGUGUGUGUAUACGCGUGUAUGUGUAUACGUGUAUGUGUGUAUACGCGUGUGUGUAUACGUAUACGCGUGUGUAUAUGUGUAUACGUAUAUGUGUAUACGUAUGUGUGUAUACGCGUGUAUGUGUAUACGCGUGUAUACACGUGUAUACGUAUACGCGUGUAUGCGUGUGUAUACGUAUACGUAUACGUGUGUAUAUAUGUAUACGCGCGUAUGUGUAUAUACGUGUAUGUGUAUGCGUGUGUAUACGUAUACGUGUGUGUAUAUAUGUAUACGCGCGUAUGUGUAUAUACAUGUAUGUAUACGCGUGUGUGUAUAUGUGUAUGCGUGUGUAUAUACGUAUACGCGUGUAUGUGUGUAUAUAUAUGUGUAUGCGUGUAUAUACGUAUAUGUGUGUGUAUGCUUAUACGCGUGUAUAUGCGUGUGUAUAUGUAUAUGCGUGUGUAUAUGUAUAUGCGUGUGUAUAUGUAUACGCGUGUAUGCGUGUGUAUAUAUGUAUACGCAUAUGCGUGUAUACGCGUGUGUAUAUGUAUAUGCGUGUGUAUAUGUAUACGCGUGUAUGCGUGUGUAUAUAUGUAUAUGCGUGUGUAUAUAUGUAUAUGCGUGUGUAUAUAUGUAUACGCGUAUACGCAUACGUAUAUGCGUGUGUAUACGAAUGCAUUCCUGUGUAUGCAUACAAGUGUAUACGCAUGUAUACAUUACACGUAUCUGCAUAUACGGUACACGUAUACGCUUAAAUAUGUAUACACACACACGUUUAUAUAUAUAUAUGUGUGUGUGUGUGUGUAUAUAUAUAUACACACACACAUUGCACUUAUCCAUAUACACACAUAUACGCACACAUCCAUGUACACGUAUGUGUGUACGCGUAUAUGCACGCGUGUAUAUGGAUACGUGUAAUGUAUACGUGCGUGCGUGUAUGUGUAUAUGGAUACGUGCAUCUAUACGUAUACACGUUUGUGUGUUUGUAUAUAUACGUAUAUAUAAACAUACAUGUGCGUGUAUGCAUAUUUACGUAUACAUAUUUGCGUGUGUGUGUGUGUGUAUAUAUAUAUAUAUAUAUAUAUAUAUCACUGCGGCACAAAUUAGUGGAUUUAUUUGGAGUUUAAGAACCAGUCUGGUUUUUUUUUUGUGUAGUGUUGCCAGUGGUAAAUUUAAUUAGGAAAAAAUAAAUAUAUAAAAUAAAAAAAAAUAAAAAAAGCACAAUGUACAGUAAAGUCCUCACUUCAGGGGCUUCCAUCACCAAAUUCCAGCUCCCAACAAUCACUCCUGUUCUAAAGUGCUUUUUUUUCCCGACAGUCUGGUGGCUUUGCAUCUUUAGAUAUUGUCUGUUCAAAUAAGACAUAAAAAUCUAUUAUUUCCUUGUCUGAUAUUUUUUGUUGGUCCCGAUGAAAGCCAAAGUGGGUGCACCUUGAUGUCUUCUUCUGUUCAUUUUGGAAGACGGGAUUUGAAACAGGAAGGAGAGAAAAGAAAAACAGGUUUCCCGCCCCCCCGAUUUCUACAACUGGUUGUUCAUAUUGUAUUUUGUACCAGUGACGCUUUUUAUAUUGGAGAAAUUAAAAGAAAGGAAAUCUAAAUUGUCUGGCCUCUCAAUGCGGCCUUGCCUUGACCAGGUCUUUGCUUUGGCCUCUUGUUUCUGUCAAGCUAUAUACAAUGACUAUUAUUUAGUGUAAAAUAACUAAACUCACUGGACGUGGUCCUCAGUUAAUCUGUGUUGGGGGAGGGGCUCGGGGAUCCUCAAAAAGUGGUGGUAAGUUCCAUGUCAGUGCUUGUGCCGUCAUCUGGGUUUUUUGACGUGUGGAUAAUUGUCUUAGUAUGAGAGUCAUUUAGUUUGAGCCUUGCUUUUAUUUUGUUUUUUAAGAAAUUUGUGUAGAAUUUUCUUUUUGUUUUUUCCUCCCCCCCUCAUAGCAGAGUGUGUAGACAAAAGACUCUGUUCUUCUUUUGGUCGGUGUUUGUUCAUAUGUGGUGUGUUUCUUUGCCUCUGUCUCCAAAUUAAACCAUUUCCCCUAAUAUGGA